UACAGAGGGUGCAAGCGUUGCUCGGAAUUAUUGGGCGUAAAGGGUAGGUAGGUGGUCUCAUUUGUCCGGGGUGAAAGCCUUGAGCUUAACUCAAGAAGUGCCCCGGAAACGGUGAGACUGGAGUCUUGGAGAGGGUCGUGGAAUUCCCGGUGUAGCGGUGAAAUGCGUAGAGAUCGGGAGGAACACCAGAGGCGAAAGCGGCGACCUGGACAAGUACUGACACUCAACUACGAAAGCGUGGGGAGCAAACAGG
RNAcentral lists this ribosomal RNA (253 nucleotides) under uncultured bacterium. Its description in RNAcentral is "partial 16S ribosomal RNA". It matches the Rfam family "Bacterial small subunit ribosomal RNA", at positions 524 to 776 of the family's 1533-position model. The record is from RNAcentral.